AGAUCAUUUCAAAGAGGGCUGGGGGGACCCAACCCAGGAGCCUUCAGCACUGUGACCAAAGAUUGAGUUCCCUAUCGGCUAUACAAUUGGUGACAAUUGGCUAGUCACUGAGAGUGCUACGUUUUCCUGAUGGAGACAUAAGC
This 143-nucleotide small nucleolar RNA is filed under the name Capra hircus (goat). RNAcentral describes it as "Small nucleolar RNA SNORA25 (ENSCHIG00000002837.1)". Lineage: Eukaryota; Metazoa; Chordata; Mammalia; Artiodactyla; Bovidae. The record is from RNAcentral.